Molecule: long non-coding RNA, 441 nt
Filed under: Anas platyrhynchos platyrhynchos (common mallard)
Lineage: Eukaryota; Metazoa; Chordata; Aves; Anseriformes; Anatidae
Description: lncRNA (ENSAPLG00000016684.1)
Source: RNAcentral
AUGCUAUUGUUGUUGUCUGCCUGGCACUUUAGGCUGCUGUGUGAGGGGACGUUUUAUAGGCUCAACAUUUACAUGCUGUGCAAGACUUCAGACUGUCCCUCUUCCAACCACGUUCAUGAAAAGGUGAGAGCACUUUGUGAGGCGUGGCUGAUACCAGCAUUGCCCACAAACCUCAUCACUGCCAAAGUAGUCAUGGAUCUGCCUGUGAUAUCCCCAAUGGGCUUUGUUACCAGGACCAGUCUCCAGCUGCUGUGUCUCUUAGAGACCAUCGCUGUCUGUUGGUGUGAUGGCUGUCUUAAACAGACAUUGUAUCUGACUCCUUGCAGCUUACCUCCUGGCCUAAUGAUAGGUAACAACAGAACAAUUCAUCCAGGAACAACUUGUUCUCUACCUGCUUGGAUGGGGAGAAAAGAGUUGGUGCUGGGGUACAGAACUUUCUAA